This is a long non-coding RNA of Silurus meridionalis, 365 nucleotides long. RefSeq lists it as uncharacterized. The record is from RefSeq and is a predicted model, not a curated record. The transcript has 3 exons. Lineage: Eukaryota; Metazoa; Chordata; Actinopteri; Siluriformes; Siluridae.
UGUAUUGGAUGUAAAUGAGCAACUGGUGUCUACACUGGUGAAUGGAACAAAAAACUACUUAAACAUCACCCUGCAAAAUUUGGAGGUUCUUAUAUAUGUGGUGGAUGAAUCUCAUUUCUCGAAUCGAGAAUCUAACACCAAUUUCGAACUUAAAACAAUGAAUGCCUCCAUGGAUAUCGAUCUCAUUAGCAUCUUAAAGACUAAUAAAGAAUCAGCUGCAGUGGCCUUCAUGAGUUACGCUGACAUGGAAGACUUCCUGAAACCUAACGACCAAAUGAAAGCCUUGAUGUCCAAUGUGGUGUCAGUAACACUCCCUAAAACCCAGAACAAGUGGCUCACCCAACCAAUCAACAUCACCUUUAAAC